UAGGGAAUCUUCGGCAAUGGGGGGAACCCUGACCGAGCAACGCCGCGUGAGUGAAGAAGGUUUUCGGAUCGUAAAGCUCUGUUGUUAAGGAAGAACGAGUGUGAGAAUGGAAAGUUCAUGCUGUGACGGUACUUAACCAGAAAGGCACGGCUAACUACGUGCCAGCAGCCGCGGUAAUACGUAGGUCCCGAGCGUUGUCCGGAUUUAUUGGGCGUAAAGCGAGCGCAGGCGGUUAGAAAAGUCUGAAGUGAAAGGCAGUGGCUCAACCAUUGUAGGCUUUGGAAACUGUUUAACUUGAGUGCAGAAGGGGAGAGUGGAAUUCCAUGUGUAGCGGUGAAAUGCGUAGAUAUAUGGAGGAACACCGGUGGCGAAAGCGGCUCUCUGGUCUGUAACUGACGCUGAGGCUCGAAAGCGUGGGGAGCGAACAGG
RNAcentral lists this ribosomal RNA (429 nucleotides) under Bacteroidota bacterium. RNAcentral describes it as "Bacteroidetes bacterium partial 16S ribosomal RNA". It matches the Rfam family "Bacterial small subunit ribosomal RNA", at positions 355 to 776 of the family's 1533-position model. The record is from RNAcentral. Lineage: Bacteria; Pseudomonadati; Bacteroidota.